UACGAAGGUGGCAAGCGUUGUUCGGAUUUACUGGGCGUACAGGGUGCGUAGGCGGUUCGGUAAGCCCUUCGUGAAAUCUUCAGGCUCAACCUGGAAAGUUCGGAGGGGACUGCCGGGCUAGAGGAUGGGAGAGGAGCGCGGAAUUCCCGGUGUAGCGGUGAAAUGCGUAGAGAUCGGGAGGAAGGCCGGUGGCGAAGGCGGGUCUCUGGGCAAUUCCUGACGCUGAGGCGCGAAAGCGUGGGGAGCAAACGGG
RNAcentral lists this ribosomal RNA (253 nucleotides) under uncultured prokaryote. Its description in RNAcentral is "partial 16S ribosomal RNA". It matches the Rfam family "Bacterial small subunit ribosomal RNA", at positions 524 to 776 of the family's 1533-position model. The record is from RNAcentral.